Octopus bimaculoides (California two-spot octopus) is the source of this 1936-nucleotide long non-coding RNA. Lineage: Eukaryota; Metazoa; Mollusca; Cephalopoda; Octopoda; Octopodidae. The record is from RefSeq and is a predicted model, not a curated record.
AAGACCUGUUGAGGCAAGUGAAAUUGAAAUUGAACUAAAUUCAACAACUGGCACCCAUGCCAACAUCGUCUCCUUCAUUGGACACGAAACUUGGCGAAAUGGUAAUUGCACCUGUGCCCAGUGUCGCCUUCCUGGCACAUGUAAAGACAUUCGAGCGAGAUCGUCGCCAGUGCCGCUGGACUGGCUCCUGUGCAGGUGGCACGUAAAAUACACCAUUUUGAGCGUGGCCAUUGCCAGUACUACCUGAUUGGCCUUCGUGCCGGUGGUACGUAAAAGUACCCACUACACUCUUGGAGUGGUUGGCGUAAGGAAGGGCAUCCAGCUGUAGAAACUCUGCAAAAUCAGAUUGGAGCCUGAUGUAGCCAUCUGGUUCACCAGUCCUCAGUCAAAUCGUCCAACCCAUGCUAGCAUGGAAAGCGGACGUUAAACGAUGAUGAUGAUGAUGAUGAUAAGUAGUGGAAUAUCUGAGGCUGGUUAAGGAGCUGGAAAGAUGGAAAGCAGAUACUGCAUCUCUUACUGUGCACCUACAGCUUCAAUAAGGAAUGGGCUUUGACUGAUUGCCUGAUUAUUUAGGUUUAUGAAUCAGGGCCAUUUUAACAGAACAUUAGGCCCCCUGAGUAAAGCAAUGCACAGAGGUCCCCUACCAACACAACAACAACAUAACUAGAUUAGCAUUGGGUACCUAGGCCUAUGUGACUCCCAAGAAACUGCCUGGUGUGCACUUAUCUUAAGACAGCACUGAUAUGGAUCUUAAAGCUCACACAACAGUUAUAUAGUUAUUAACAAUGAUUAUGAAGUUUGUUGAACUAAUACUGUUUCUGCCGGAAGCAGAGAUGUAGUUUAUUAGAUGGUAGAAAGUACCAUUCAAGAUUAGCUCAUUAUAAUAUAAUUGGUAUAUCUGUCACAAAUGAUGGCAUGUUGGCAUUUAAAAAUGAACAAGCUGAAAUUGGCAUUUAAUAAAUGCCUCAACAUAAAUUAUGUUCCAUAUAUUUUUUGAUACAGACUUGUUUCAACCUAUCAUAUACUGCCAGGUUAGGUUUGAAUCAAAGUUUAUUUACCAAAAUUAGUAUAUUUUAUUAAUAAUCAAUUCCAUAUGCAUUUCAUCCACACAUAAAUAUCCAUUAUGACUUGUUUUAUAUAUAAAGCUGUUACACUGAAACAUAAAGUGUUGUGGCAGACACCCCCAGGUGAGAAGUGAGUUGGUCCACUAAUAAAUAGUGGCCUGACACAGUCAGUAAUGUCAGUUAGUGAGGUACAUUGUUCAGGUCAGUCUUGCAGAGAUGACGAAAUGCGUUGUCAUAAUGUGGGACAUAACAAUAAUCAUAUCACAAUAUACUAAUUUUAUUCAAUAUACAGUCACUGCAUACGUUUCCAAUGGUAAUACAAAUGGGUUUCUGCAUAGAUGUUACAAUUUUCAUGUACUAAAAUAUUGAUAGAGGAGUGGCUGUGUGGUAAGUAGCUUGCUUACCAACCACAUGGUUCGGGUUCAGUCCCACUGCGUGACACCUUGGUCAUUUCACUGCAGCCAUGCUGGAGCAUCACCUUUAGUCGAACAAAUUGACCCCAGGACUUAUUCUUUAUUGAAGGAGACGGCUGUAACAACACUUUGAACACACCUAUUAAGCACAGUGUGUCACAACUGACUAGUUUUACAGAAUGCAGGUAGAACAUGAAGACAAUUUGGAAGCUCCUUAUGCAAUAAAUCUUCGUGUUAAACUGAGCAAAAGCGCUACAGAAACUUUAUAAAAUGCUCCAGACUCCAUUUUUCAUAAGCGAUGUAGUGGUGUUAUAAGACUUGACCUAUGAAUACUAAUUUCCAUUAUGUCCUCUACAUUGUAUCAAAAUUUCAUGCAUUUAUUUGUAACGUUAAGGAAGUUAUUAAAAAUUGAAACCCAUCAGUGACUUUUGGGACUAUUCUUUUACUUGUUUCAGUCAU